RNAcentral lists this ribosomal RNA (463 nucleotides) under uncultured bacterium. RNAcentral describes it as "bacterial SSU rRNA". It matches the Rfam family "Bacterial small subunit ribosomal RNA", at positions 339 to 794 of the family's 1533-position model. The record is from RNAcentral.
AUACGGGAGGCAGCAGUGGGGAAUAUUGGACAAUGGGCGCAAGCCUGAUCCAGCCAUGCCGCGUGUGUGAAGAAGGCCUUCGGGUUGUAAAGCACUUUUGUUGGGGAAGAAAAGACACCGGUUAAUACCCGGGGUUUCUGACGGUACCCAAAGAAUAAGCACCGGCUAACUUCGUGCCAGCAGCCGCGGUAAUACGAAGGGUGCAAGCGUUACUCGGAAUUACUGGGCGUAAAGCGUGCGUAGGUGGUUCGUUAAGUCAGAUGUGAAAGCCCCGGGCUCAACCUGGGAAUUGCAUUUGAUACUGGCGGGCUAGAGUGCGGUAGAGGAGAGUGGAAUUCCCGGUGUAGCAGUGAAAUGCGUAGAGAUCGGGAGGAACAUCAGUUGCGAAGGCGGCUCUCUGGACCAGCACUGACACUGAGGCACGAAAGCGUGGGGAGCAAACAGGAUUAGAUACCCCGGUAGC